This 251-nucleotide ribosomal RNA is filed under the name uncultured Cetraspora. RNAcentral's name for it is "partial 18S ribosomal RNA". The record is from RNAcentral. Lineage: Eukaryota; Fungi; Glomeromycota; Glomeromycetes; Diversisporales; Gigasporaceae.
CCCCCAACUAUCCCUAUUAAUCAUUACGGUGAUUCAGAAACCAACAAAACAGGACCACCGUCCUAUUCUAUUAUUCCAUGCUAAUGUAUUCAGACAUAAGCCUGCUUUGAACACUCUAAUUUUUUCAAGGUAAAGGUCCUGGUUUCCCACCACGCUAAAUUAAUAACAUGAUGGUUCCCCAGAAGGUAGAAAUUCUACACGCCAGUACAGACAAAGCCCGACCAACGGUAGAACCCCGAAAUUCAACUACG